RNAcentral lists this ribosomal RNA (494 nucleotides) under uncultured bacterium. Its description in RNAcentral is "partial 16S ribosomal RNA". It matches the Rfam family "Bacterial small subunit ribosomal RNA", at positions 28 to 507 of the family's 1533-position model. The record is from RNAcentral.
GACGAACGCUGGCGGCGUGCUUAACACAUGCAAGUCGAACGGUGAAGCGCCUUCCUUUUUGGUGGGUGUGGAUGAGUGGCGAACGGGUGAGUAACACGUGAGUAACCUGCCCCCCUCUUCUGGAUAACCGCAUGAAAGUGUGGCUAAUACGGGAUAUUCUGGGUCUGUCGCAUGAUGGGUCUGGGAAAGAUAUUGUUUCGGUGGGGGAUGGGCUCGCGGCCUAUCAGCUUGUUGGUGGGGUGAUGGCCUACCAAGGCGGUGACGGGUAGCCGGCCUGAGAGGGUGGACGGUCACACUGGGACUGAGACACGGCCCAGACUCCUACGGGAGGCAGCAGUGGGGAAUAUUGCACAAUGGGCGCAAGCCUGAUGCAGCGACGCCGCGUGAGGGAUGGAGGCCUGCGGGUUGUGAACCUCUUUCGCCAGUGAAGCAGGCCUGCCUCGUUUGUGGGUGGGUUGACGGUAGCUGGAUAAGAAGCGCCGGCUAACUACGUG